GACGAACGCUGGCGGCGUGCUUAACACAUGCAAGUCGAACGGAAAGGCCCUGCUUGCAGGGUGCUCGAGUGGCGAACGGGUGAGUAACACGUGGGUGAUCUGCCCCUUACUUUGGGAUAAGCCUGGGAAACUGGGUCUAAUACUGGAUAGGACCAUGCUGUAGGUGGUGUGGUGGAAAGAUUAGUUUCGGUAAGAGAUGAGCUCGCGGCCUAUCAGCUUGUUGUUGGGGUAAUGGCCUACAAAGGCGUCGACGGGUAGCCGGCCUGAGAGGGUGGAAGGCCACAUUGGGACUGAGAUGCGGCCCAGAAUCCUGCGGGAGGCAGCAGUGGGGAAUAGUGCACAAUGGGCACAAGGCUGAUGCGGCGAAGCCGCGUGGGGGGUGAAGGCCUUCGGGUUGUAAACUCCUUUCGUCCAUGACGAAGCCCUUGUGGUGACGGUAGUGGUAGAAGAAGCACCGGCUAACUACGUG
RNAcentral lists this ribosomal RNA (469 nucleotides) under uncultured bacterium. RNAcentral's name for it is "partial 16S ribosomal RNA". It matches the Rfam family "Bacterial small subunit ribosomal RNA", at positions 28 to 507 of the family's 1533-position model. The record is from RNAcentral.